UACGGGGGGGGCAAGCGUUGUUCGGAAUUACUGGGCGUAAAGCGCACGUAGGCGGCUACUCAAGUCAGAGGUGAAAGCCCAGGGCUCAACCUUGGAACUGCCUUUGAAACUAGGUAGCUAGAAUUCUGGAGAGGUCAGUGGAAUUCCGAGUGUAGAGGUGAAAUUCGUAGAUAUUCGGAAGAACACCAGUGGCGAAGGCGACUGACUGGACAGAUAUUGACGCUGAGGUGCGAAAGCGUGGGGAGCAAACAGG
RNAcentral lists this ribosomal RNA (253 nucleotides) under uncultured bacterium. RNAcentral describes it as "partial 16S ribosomal RNA". It matches the Rfam family "Bacterial small subunit ribosomal RNA", at positions 524 to 776 of the family's 1533-position model. The record is from RNAcentral.